This 333-nucleotide long non-coding RNA is filed under the name Brassica napus (rape). Its description in RNAcentral is "long non-coding RNA (BNAP_LNC017077)". The record is from RNAcentral. Lineage: Eukaryota; Viridiplantae; Streptophyta; Magnoliopsida; Brassicales; Brassicaceae.
UGGUAAACUGGAGAGCAUCCCAGGAACCUCUGAUUGAACGAGAAGUUCUGGCGAGCUUUCCACGGCGGCUAGAAACCAUAGCGGUCACCGAGGCUCUACCCGGAUGAGAGGGAUCUAAGAUUAGUGAAGACGAACCAGAAAUAUACGAAAGAGAAAGAGGGAGCAUGAGAGGAGGGAGGAGAUGUCGAUGCCGGCGAGCACGAGCUCCACCGGCGUCGGAGGAUGAUGACAAAACGGGGGUCUCGAUAUUUGGGUUUGAGAGCGUUUUCAAAUUUCAAAAUCCUCUGGGUGGUAUUGGUUACUAGAAUUGUGUCACUUUCCUUUUUUCUCACC